RNAcentral lists this ribosomal RNA (301 nucleotides) under uncultured bacterium. RNAcentral describes it as "partial 16S ribosomal RNA". It matches the Rfam family "Bacterial small subunit ribosomal RNA", at positions 509 to 807 of the family's 1533-position model. The record is from RNAcentral.
CAGCAGCCGCGGGAAUACGUAGGGUCCGAGCGUUGUCCGGAAUUACUGGGCGUAAAGAGCUCGUAGGUGGUUUGUCGCGUUGUUCGUGAAAACUCACAACUCAAUUGUGGGCGUGCGGGCGAUACGGGCAGACUGGAGUACUGCAGGGGAGAUUGGAAUUCCUGGUGUAGCGGUGGAAUGCGCAGAUAUCAGGAGGAACACCGAUGGCGAAGGCAGAUCUCUGGGCCGUAACUGACGCUGAGGAGCGAAAGCAUGGGGAGCGAACAGGAUUAGAUACCCCGGUAGUCCCUGUCUCUUAUAC